CGGGCCUUUAUUAACCGUUGAUGCGUAUAAGUAGGUCCAAGUUCAUAAGUUAUGGGCUGUUAUGAUUAACGGGUCUAGUAUGUUUGGGCUUCUUAUAUUUGAUCUUCUUGUCCUAACAAAAAUAAAAUAUAUGGUUAACUUCUUUUUUUCUUCAAAAUUUGAAAUUCUUCAAAAAAAUAAAGAAACAUGCUCUCCAAUGGUUUGCUUCAUAUUUUUCUUCAAAAUGAAAUAUUCUAAGUAUAAUCUACCAAAAUAAGGAGAAGAAAAAUAGAUGUAUUCUGGUUCACAUGGCAGCCAUAAGGAUCCAUAGAGAGCGAGCAAACUUGGCCACGAAAUGCAGCUAACAUGAAUCCAAAUCUGUCUGCAGAAAUUUUAUCGAUGUAUUUCUGUCUCACAUGGUUUCCGUUUUUGUCUCGAACACAUCUCAUGGGCUGGCCGUCACAAGUACACGUGAUAAACUAACUCCCAGAUAAAAGGUUUAUGACAUGAAUAGCCCUACAGCAGAAUAAAUUUUCACCCCUCAGUACACCAUUUUUACUAUUCUUUCAGUCCAGACAGAAUGUAGUGGUUUUGUACCUUUUGUAUUAUUCUGCAAUCAUAUAUCUGCAGACUAAGUAGUACGAUCGGUCCCAUGAGUUGAUCCGCGAAUACCGUUCUCCAUGAUGUUUUGCAGUAUUAGAAAACUGAAGCAGAUCAAAUAAAUAAUAAACAAAAGAGAUAGUCUGACGGGCAAUGCAAUGUAAGACAUAGGGUCAAGUAGGAACAGACCUUUUGAAUGACAUUAUCAAACACAUCAGUCAUUAGUUUGCAAGCAUGAGGAAGAACUUCCCCAAACACAUCUGUUUUUUUUUUACAUCGGAUUACAAAUUCUCGGGCAUUUGCUGAUUGAAUCAGCUCCUGUACUGAUCCGCAGUGAAAGGAAACAGAGGUUUUAGUAAGGUUUAUUAUCAUAUGAUUCAGGUAAAAACCCCAGAAAAAGUCGGGAAAGAAAAAUUAAAACUUGCCUGAAAGGAAACAGAGGUUACCUUAGUUGCUUCUCCAGCCUCUUUGUCGUUUCUCUAAGCUUUGUAUCCGCCUGGACAGCAAAAUAAUAAACAUAUUGAAUAUGAAGUAACAAACAUAGCUUUUAGCUCAUAACCAUCAUCAAGGAGAAACGCAAAGAGUAGAGAUGCCUCAAAACUCAAUGUAUUGAAUAAUUGAAAAGUUAGAAAGGAAUAUAAAACGUAAACGUACCGGAUGUAAAAAGAUAGCGUAAGAUGCAAAAAAAAAUCAGACGAAAAUAUAUAGGAAGAAAAUAAGGGAUGUGAAGAGCGUGACUUUUUGGACGAUUUGAUGUAGGGAGCCAUAUUGACGGGAGCCAUUUCACUAAUGAUCGUGCGAGAGGUUAAGUGUAUCGCAUUAAACAAUGUAGAAGACGAAUAGGGAUGUCAAAUAGGCAAGCUGUCCAUGGGUAACCCAUGUCUACAUCAAUUUGGACUAAAAUGGACACGCCCAAAUAUGUCCAGGAAAAUAUUUUGUCCAAAUAGGCGUCGUCCAAAUACACCCGUAGCCCAAACGGGCAAAACCACAUGGACACUGGGCGGCCCAAAUCUUAAAAAUAUCUAGGGUUAACAUAUUUGGGGAAAAAUUAUAAUCAAAAUCAUAAUCGAGAGAAAUCGAUUUUGAGCUUCUUCACUUCAUCUUCUUCACUCUUGUAACUCAAGCUUCUUCACUUUAUCCUCUUCCGUUUUUUCACUUCAUCUUCUUCUCUAUCUAGCCGGUUUGUUUCAGGUUUGUUGUAGUCUCUCUCUCUCAAUUUAGGGAUUUAGUGAUGAGUCUUUCUAGAUUCAAUGUAUAAAGUUGUUUUUAUUGAUUGGUUUGACUUGUUUAUGUUUCUGAUUUUGGGUUUGAUGAGUUUGCGAUUCUAGGUUUGAUGGGUCUGUUGAUGGGUUCUUCAUGUUGAUAUGGAUUUGUCGCUCAACUAAAUGCUAAGUUUGUUAUCAUCUUGUUUAUGCAGGCUUCAAGAUUUGGAACCAAAUAAGAGCUCGAACUCACUACUCCCAGUCCCAGUCUAUCCUCUCUAAUUUAAAAUGAAUGAGGAUAUUUGAACCUAAAUGAUGAUGCCUAUUUGAGUGCUGAUGAGAUGAUGGAUCAGAACGAAGAUGAUCAUGAUCCUGAUUCUGUACAAGAUGAUUCUACAAAUGUGGUUGAGAGUAGAGGUGAUUCUAAAGAAGAAAGUGGAAUAAAGAAGAUAAAGAAGUGAGAUUAAGUGAAGAAAUGAAGCAUGAAAGUUUAAGUACCUUUUGUAAAACAUGGAGUUUAAGUUUAAGUUUAAGAUUUUAAGUAUCUUUUGUAAACUAUGAGAGUUUAAGUUUAAGUACCUUUUGUAAAACAUGGAGUUUAAUCUUAGGUUUAAGUUUAAGUUUAAAACUUUAAGUAUUUUUUGUAAACUAUGGAGUUUAAGUAAGUUUAAGAUGUUAUAUAUGAAAUUUAGAA
This is a long non-coding RNA of Brassica napus (rape), 2475 nucleotides long. RefSeq lists it as uncharacterized. Lineage: Eukaryota; Viridiplantae; Streptophyta; Magnoliopsida; Brassicales; Brassicaceae. The record is from RefSeq and is a predicted model, not a curated record. The transcript has 3 exons.